This is a ribosomal RNA of 402 nucleotides. It matches the Rfam family "Bacterial small subunit ribosomal RNA", at positions 355 to 774 of the family's 1533-position model.
UGGGGAAUAUUGCACAAUGGGCGAAAGCCUGAUGCAGCAACGCCGCGUGAAGGAAGAAGGCCCUCGGGUUGUAAACUUCUUUUUUAUGGAAAGAUCAUGACGGUACCAUAAGAAUAAGCUCCGGCUAACUACGUGCCAGCAGCCGCGGUAAUACGUAGGGAGCGAGCGUUAUCCGGAAUUACUGGGUGUAAAGGGCGCGUAGGCGGGACUGUAAGUCCGAUGUGAAAUAUCCCGGCUCAACUGGGAGGCUGCAUUGGAAACUAUAGUUCUUGAGUGAUGGAGAGGCAGGCGGAAUUCCGUGUGUAGCGGUGGAAUGCAUAGAUAUACGGAGGAACACCAGUGGCGAAGGCGGCCUGCUGGACAUUAACUGACGCUGAGGCGCGAAAGCGUGGGGAGCAAACA